UGAUACUUGAAAUCAGGGUUACCAAAUCACAAGAUGGUUCCACUCUUAGUCAACAACAUUACAUAGAUAAGCUACUAUCUUUAGUUUUAGAAUAUAAUCACAAUUCAGUGAGCACACCCUUUGACUCUAACUUCAUCUUAAGAAAAACCUAGGAUUGGCUAUUGAGCAAGCUAAAUAUGAUAAGAUUAUUGGAACUCUUAUGUUUCUCACUAACUGUACAAGACCAGAUGUAUCUUUUGCUGUCAACAGACCUAGCAGGUACACCAGUAACCCUAGUGAAGAACACUGGAGGGCUCUGACUCAGGUCCUAAGAUACCUAAAAGGUACUGCAAAUUGGAGCUUGAGAUACACUAGACAUCCAUCUGUACUGGAAGGGUAUUGUGAUGCCAACUGGGUGACCAGCAAAGACGAUGUAAACUCAACUAGUGAAUUUGUCUUCACCUUGGGAGGAGCUGCAGUUGCCUGGAAGUCCACAAAACAAACCUACAUAGCAAAGUCCACCAUGAAAUCAGAAUUCAUAGCUCUUAAUAUAGCUAGUCAAGAAGCAGAAUGGCUUAGAUGUCUUCUUUCUGAAUUUCCAUAUUGGGAAAAGCCAUCUCCAUCAGUCUCAAUGCUGUGUGACUCACAGGUAGUCAUCCAUGUAGCCAACAGUUCAGUCUACAAUGGAAAGAAAAGGCACUUGAGGAUUCGACAUGAAUUUGUUAGAAAUCUGCUGGAGAAUGAAGUAAUCUCUCUAAACUACAUAAAGUCUGAGAGGAACCUAGCAGAUCCCUUAACCAAUGAUUGUGAAGAAAAAUGGUACUAGAAAGUGCUAAAGAAAUGGGAUUUUGGUCCCAGAGUUGAUGAAUUCAAGAUGGAUACCUGAGCUUAUACUGAGCAAAAUGGUCAAACGAAAUCUUAGAAAGAAUCAAGUUGAAAUGAAUUCCUGAGAAGAAGUGAUAAUCGAGCACUCUUCUGAAUUCAUAAAAUUGGAAAGAUCUAAACUGAGGAUUCCUGAGAAGAAGUGAAAUAAGCACUCUUCUGCAUCCUUGAAGCUGAAUAGUCAGAGUCCAAAAGAAGGGAUGACUACAUGAACUUAGUGACAUAAUACAAAUCAUAAAUCUGCAGGUUGGUCGUUGAGUGAUCUGGUGAUCUGCAGAACCCCGAUCAUAGAAAUUAAUGGAGUCUAUGACUCCUUGAGGAACAUAAGCUGCAAAUUACAUUUUUGUUGGAAACAACUUCAGACUGAGAGUCAAUGGUUCAAGGCUAAGUCCACCACUCUCAUUUGCUCUGAAGAUUUCUUGCAUUACAGGAUAAGUUCAAGUCAUUCUGAAACUUAACUGCUACGUGUAAAUUGCGUAUAGAACAUUGAGGGACAGAACUGCACUUGUGGGGGAUUGUUGGAAGAAUUGCAGUUCAAUCGUCAAAACGUUGUGUUUUAUUUAAUUGCUUUUCCCAAUGGUUAGUUGUCGAUAUCUGGGAAAAACUACGUUGAGUUAGUUCCUGGAAUCAAGGGCCUCGAUCCUUCUCUUUGUUGCUUUCUGUUCCAUGAUGAUGAUGAUCAGGAGAAGAUCUUGGUUGUUUGCUGAACGAUCUACUGCCUAUAAAAGGCAAUCCAUUUCACUACAGAAGCAUUCAAUCGAAUACCAAUCUCUUCUCCCUUUUUGAAUCCACUGUUCUUAGUUUAAGUUCCAACUUGCAACCUACAUCAUCAUAGGUUGUAAGCAUACUGUGAUUAACCUUCAGUUGCUUUGAUGUAUUGCUAUUUCGGAGAAUUUUACUUCAAAAGCAGUGCUUACACAUGAUCACAAUUUGAGUUGCUUUUUCGAGUUAUUUUGCUGGUUUAUUGUUCUGAUUGAUAAUUCAUUGUUCGAUGUGAUCUUUGUGAUUUAGUGGUUGUAGAUUGUAAUAGUUUCUAACAGCAACGACAUGCCCAAAGUCCAAUUUGAAAGCAAGUUUUUGUUUCUCUAUUUUUCCAAAGUGAAAACAGAGCAGACCCAGAUAGCAGUGAUGAAUUGAGUUGUGUACCGUGCAACCAAGGUAAGCAGAGACGACAGUAAAAAAAGCAGAAGGAAGAACUGAAACCCACCCAACACUUGUGUAGUUGUGUUUGCAGAGAAGAGAAAGCAAAAAGGAGAAGAUGGAAACCGUAGCCCCCCUCCUCCUCUCCAUUGAUGACAUUAUUAUUAUAUUAUUAUAGUUAUUAUAGCUGCAGCAACUCCACCACCAAAAUUCUGGCCAAUUAGCCCCCAUACUCUGCAACUUAGCACAGCUAAAAGACAAACAACGUAUGUAUUAGCAACAGUGUAAUAAAUUUGGUGAGAGCUCAGUCUCACCAAAUCCCCAUUUAAUGUUAUCAUCAUAUGUGUUUAUUUUCCCUUGUGUCUAAAGGGAAGUUGUGAAGUUGCAAUGCCAACCUAACUACAUUGACUAAUAAUAAGCUAAGUCUGUGUCUUUCUCGUAAGUCAUCACUUGGAAUUUCACAGGCAGCCUUUACAGCAAGUUUUCCUGUUGACUCAACAAAGUAAGCCUUCAGGUUGACUCAACAAUUGUUAUCUCCAUUCUCCACAAUCCUCACUCAGGAGAUGUUGGGCAUCAUGCCUGUACGGAGGAACUUGGACACCUUUAUGACGGAAAAUUGAAAUUAAGAAUGUGGUGGCAGAUGUUUGAGCCAAAAUCGAGCUGCGUAAUGACUUGGUGACCAGCUGCAACCAGACGGUGGCUUUCACCGGAGGAAUUCACAGUAGCGGAUCUGGAAUCUUGUAUCUGUAGUAUUGAUCCACUUGAUUUAAAAAUUAAACCCAAAACCCUAUAUCUUUAUUAUUGAUCAGUACUGGGCCUCGGGCCUUAUACUUUAAAUCUUUUACUAGGUGAAAACAACAUUUCAUUCAAAAGAAACAGAGCACAACCCACACCGAGAAUCAUGAACAGAACGAAGUAUAACCUGUUAAUCAGCGAUUAUCAAAUCGCCCAAUGACGAACAGAUAGCGACGCGCUCGGGAGUACACCCUAAAUGUGCAGCCAGCUCGGAAAGCCCAAUCCUUCCUACGAGCAAAACCUUUAUUCGAUGAAAUCAUAUUACUAACAAAUAAAAAUUGACCUUUCAGUCAAGAGUAUUUGAUCAUUACCUUUAACAUCCGGCUGACCGAUGCCUUUCAAUAUAACCCUUUAAUGGAAGAGUUUCAUUCUUCUUGAUAAUUAUGGCUGGAAACGUGAAGGCGAAAAAAACAGAGAGGUAGAGAGUUGCAUUUUGUUUAAUUUAGGAGAGAGAUACUAAGUUGAGAAGAGAUAAGAAAGAUAGAGAGAAUCAGAACUUUCAGUGUUGAUCAAUCUGAUGGAGAUGCAAUCAGAUUUUAAUUCGGUGAAAAUUAAUUUAUUAUUUAAUUAGUUUA
Molecule: long non-coding RNA, 3371 nt
Filed under: Linum usitatissimum (flax)
Lineage: Eukaryota; Viridiplantae; Streptophyta; Magnoliopsida; Malpighiales; Linaceae
Description: long non-coding RNA (LUSI_LNC002596)
Source: RNAcentral